GACGAACCACACAAACGUUAUUCGGAAUUACUGGGCUUAAAGGGUGCGUAGGCUGCGCAGUAAGUUGGGUGUGAAAUACCUCGGCUCAACCGAGGAACUGCGCCCAAAACUACUGUGCUUGAGGAAGAUAGAGGUAAGCGGAACUUACGGUGGAGCGGUGAAAUGCGUUGAUAUCGUAAGGAACACCUGUGGCGAAAGCGGCUUACUGGGUCUUUUCUGACGCUGAUGCACGAAAGCUAGGGGAGCAAACGGGAUUAGAAACCCCUGUAGUCC
Molecule: ribosomal RNA, 273 nt
Filed under: uncultured prokaryote
Description: partial 16S ribosomal RNA
Rfam family: Bacterial small subunit ribosomal RNA
Source: RNAcentral